AAUACAACCAUGACUCAAGGCCUGAGAAGGAACAGUUCCUUGUCAUGUUGUCUACAUGAGAAAGUCUCUUCCAGAAACCACUCCUGUGGUUAAAUAAUAUGGGGAAAUAAUAAAUUAUUUCCCCAUGGUUAUCUGAGAAAACAUCUAGUCUUCCUAGAAGCUUUUCUAUGGAAAGAGUUCACAAAGUUGUUGAAUAUGCCCAGAAAAUACUGAGCUAACAUAAUCCCUCUCACAUGUAAACAUGUAACUGAAUGUCACUAUAUAAAUGUCUACUGUAAUAAACCCAUCAGCAACAGCAAGAAUUGUGUGCAGGGAAGUCAAUUGCAGGAAUGGAUACUUCAUAGCAGUUUAAAUGAAAUUACCUUCUGCAGUGAACAAAUGGACACAGAAGACAAUCUAAGCCAAGAAAAGCACACUGUCAUCCUGAGCGAGAGCUGACCUGAAAGGAUGGAACAUCAGGCACAAUUGUAAUUUUUCAGUUUUAAGAGACAGAUUAAGUGCUGACAGCAGCUGGCAAAAUGAUAGAGAUAUUCACAAGAAUUUUAGUUUCUUCUGGAGCCAGGUCCUGCUAUGAAGGUCAAGGGACAGACCUUGCUGUUGCUCGGAAAGAACUUACUGGAGGCCUGUGCCACUGGAAAAGAUUUGUGUUUUGGUUUGGCCUUUGUAUAGCACCUGCUCAGCCACCAACCUUCUCGAGUACCUAAUGCAAAAAUGAAAAGCAAGGCUGAGUAUGUCUGUUCUUAUCAGAAAGAAUUUCUCCUUCCCUUACUCUCGGCGUUCCUUCAGGUGUACUGAGUUUAUUUCCUUGUCCAGCAAGAUACUGAACUCAUGAUGCAAUAAGACUCGAUGUGCUCACAUUGUGAAAGCCUUGGAUCCACAGAAGCACUCCCUAGAUGAAUGGAUGACAUUUCCCAGCAACAAGAUUUCCAUCUCAGUGGUAGAUCCUUAUCCUUUCCCACACAAACUGCAAUGAGGGUAGAGUGUAAGGAUGAACGAACCAAGUCAGGUAUUGCGCUACCUUUUAGAGGCAGAAUCAGUCCAUAUUUGUCCAGUACAUCAAGUCCAAUAGAUCAUGGUAUAUCUAUUGUCCCAACUACAACUCAUAGGCCUGACACAGUUGUGAUGGGAAUGAAGAGGAUUUUGGAAGUCUCUAUGCAAUAAAAAAUAAAGGUUUCUU
Long non-coding RNA from Gallus gallus (chicken), 1177 nucleotides. The record is from Ensembl. NCBI's taxonomy places the organism in Eukaryota, Metazoa, Chordata, Aves, Galliformes, Phasianidae.